Molecule: long non-coding RNA, 409 nt
Organism: Misgurnus anguillicaudatus (oriental weatherfish)
Lineage: Eukaryota; Metazoa; Chordata; Actinopteri; Cypriniformes; Cobitidae
Source: RefSeq, a predicted model, not a curated record
GUCAAAUCCACACACAUUCAAUUAAUUAUCAGCCAUACAUCUAUAUAAUUAAAGCGAGAUAUAAUGACACGCUUUCAUCAAAACAAAUCAAACUAAAAAUGGAUUCGCGUGCCGACGCAGAGACCGAAAUAACAACAGACCUUCCGCCAAACCAGAUCAAUGCUCAUGAAGAUCUUGAUAUCAGGAUAUGUGAGAGACAGCAGCAGAUUGAUCUCUGUAGCGUCAUCAUCAACGAUCUAUUCUACAUUCACACAAUACUGCAGGAAAGAGGACUUGAUCAUGUGUCUGUUCAAGAACUGGAUAACUGAUAAUCCUUUGAAUGUUAUAUAUUAAGUGUAUGUUAAAGUCUUCUCAUGAAAGAGAUUUUAAACUGAAAUAAUCCAAUAAACCAGACAAGAUUUUACUGUUA